CCUCAAGUAGUUAGUGUUAGAAAAAUGAAGACAUGACGUAGAAAUUACCUAAAACUUCCGGGUAAAUUAGUAUUUAAAUAUCUCGAGCUGCGGAAAAUUCAUAAUAAGCAAAUUAUCACCACAGGAAAAAGACUUCACUUACAUCUCGGGAUGAGUAAAAUGCCUGUCACACCACUUUUAUUAUUGGUACUUGUGUUGGCCACGGCAAUAGGGAAAGUGGCGCCAUGUGAUCCUCCUUCUGGAAGGACAAACGGUUGCAGCCCUUCGUUGUUACCUUACCCCUUUAAAAUCUUUUUCAAGCCAGAGUGUAACAAGCAUGAUGCCUGCUAUGCCUGUGGCGUGCGCUAUGGGAAGUCCAGACUAAAUUGUGAUGACACAUUUUUAACGAACCUCCAGCAGCGCUGCAGAGCAGAGCGAGCAUUUUCGGACAACAAAAGAGAAAGAUGUCUUAACUGGGCUGAACGAAUGUAUAAUGCUGUUCGUAGACAUGGCGAAAGUCACUAUGAAAACCCAUCGCUAAGCUGGUGCGAUGAGACAUGGGUUCAUAGUUGCAUAUAUUAAGACGUUGCAUGUACGGCUUCACUACCCUCUGCCACUACCUUGCUUUAUGUUUAAGAAAAAUGUUCUUUUUGAAGACGAGCAUUUAUUUGACAACUAUACGAUACCAUAAUCACAAACAUUUUUAUUAUAGAAUAUUAUCGAGGCCACGAUAAGUUCAAAACAUUUUUGCAAACCAGAACAUUGACAUUACUGAAUUUAUGAAUGCCAGAAACUUGUGUUGCACAUUUAAUAUAUAUAAUUUUUUUCACUAAUUUGUUUUGAUAAUAAUAGAACUUAAAUAAAUGUUCUACUCAAAGUAUGUAAUAAAACGGUAUCAAUUUUUACUCUUUGUAGAUAAUCAGGUUUAUGUAGCCUUGAGGCUGUAUCAUAUAAAGAAUGACCACUGGUGUUAGAAUGUCAUAUCUGUACGACUGAAAAGUCACGUUUCCACCGGCACCGCUCAAAGAAAGUGUUUGUAAUAGAAUAGUAUUUCAAUUAUUACUACUUAUAUAAGUCAGUUCUAUGUAGCCUAAGGACUGCAUCAUAUAUAGAAAGACCAAGGUAUUAGUAUGUCAUAUCUGUACAACUGAACAUUCACGUUUCCGCCGACAAAAUUGAGGACUGUUCUUAUAUUGUAACUUAUUUAAUCCGAAACCAUAAUGAGCCACGUAGGAAUUUUAGCCUAGGGUCGUGUUCUUAAAGAAUCUUAAGUAUAAUUAUAAGAAAUUGUGUUGUUUUUUUAAGUAUUACGUAGGUAAGAAAUAUCUUUUACUUGAUUAUAUUUGUUAUUCUGAAAAGAACUCAAGAAAUUCUUAGCUGUGAAAAAACUUGAGUAUGUAAGAAAUUCUUAAGUAAAAAUAUUUCAUUCAAUAUCAUUUUUGUAAUAUCUAAAGCUUGAAAACAAGGAUAUCCCAUAUAUAAAUAUAGCAACGGAAAUACUUGACUAUCUUUAUUUACUAACAGAAGGAGGUCUUCUGUAAAAAAAAAUAGAACGCUGCAUUUAUAUUCGCAUUGCGUACAUUCUGUAGCCCAUGAGAGACAUCAAGUUAGGUUUGCAGGUUACAACAUGCGACUGUGUGCUUUACAUUUAGCCUUUCACUGUUAUUGCGUGUCUGACUCCCAUAUUGGAGAUCUGGACUUUAUUUUUCACAGUAUUUCAGUGAUAAAUGUCUUUUUCUAUCAAAGAAAAAAUUAUAAUUUUAGAAUUUGGUUUUUGCAUGUUGCUUGGAAUAAAUAUAAAGAGUAUAAUUGA
This is a long non-coding RNA of Mercenaria mercenaria, 1792 nucleotides long. RefSeq lists it as uncharacterized. The record is from RefSeq and is a predicted model, not a curated record. The transcript is spliced from 3 exons. NCBI's taxonomy places the organism in Eukaryota, Metazoa, Mollusca, Bivalvia, Venerida, Veneridae.